CCGCUGAACGGUGAAUCCAUGCACACCCUCUCCGACGACCUCCCGGGCACGCCAUCGCUGGCAACGGUGAGGACCACACACUCCGUCCACCAUCGGCCACCAGCAGUAGCCGGACCACCACCGUUGUCUGUCCUCUUUGAUGCAAGAUCCACGCUGCUUCACUUCGUCCAGGUUCACAUCUCCCUCUCCCCCCCUCUCUCUCUUUCUCAUGGCACUCGAUUCCCUCUUAUUUUUCAGAAUGGAAGUGGCCUGGAAGCCACUUGACUGAAUUGCCAUGUCUUUCAAAGUGCCAGUGCCAUGAUAAUUAGAUGCCUCUGUUCUUAAAUGGAAGUGGCCUGAAUGGAAGCCACUUGAUUGAAAGGCACUCGAUUAGCUAUAUUCUUACAAUCUAAGAUACUCAGCUUACAGCGCAGUAAGAACCGUAUACCGUGACUGUACGUGUUCAGGUGUUUCUCAAAAUAUUCCGUGAGAACUUGUGUGCUUCACUCACAUUGCUUCAUUCAGAACUUGUGUCAUUGUAGACGUGUGGUUCUCAUAAGCUUCCUUCCAUCAGAUGUGAUGGCUUUAACUAGAAAUAUUUAAAAUUUAAUUUACAAAUAGUAUACUUAAAGCAUCAAACUCGUGUUUCUAUAUUUUCUGCCAGGAAAUAUUGGGCAUGAAGGUUCAUAUUUAUUGCCUGUUUCUGCAUAAUUCCUUGAACACACAACUCAUUUUUAAUGGAAAUUGAGCAUUCAGAACUGUGUGUUUCCGGUUAAAUAAUAAUAUUCAGAACUGCAUCCCGUUAUAUUUAGUGAAUGAGCAUGACAUAGUAUGAGGUAUGAAAUAUUCUCCCUACUUUGAAAGAGCGUCUGUACUUUUUGUCAUUCAAGGAGAUUGAACCUGAUGCAUUUCUAUGCAAGUGAAUUUAAAUUAUGUCUCAUCUGUAUAGGAGGUAUAGCGGCCAGCGACCAGGCCAGAAAAAUAUUGUAUGUGUUAAUAUUGGAUCAUCCAAAUUGAAAUUCAGUUUAUAUUAUUCAGUCUGCAUUCUAACAAACAUGUUCUAUUUGGCAUCAUACUAUCAUUCAACUUAAAAGAUGGCUUAACCCGUUAACCAAAUUUAAAAUCUCAGGAAGAUGGUGGUUGUUCAUCCUGACAUUUGGUUUAGUUCUGGUUGACAUGCUCAGUUGCUCCACGUCUGUUAGAUAUUAAAUAAGCUGGUUCUUCUUUCUGUAAAGUUUGGCAAUUUAAAAACCUUUAUGGAGGUUUGCUUUUUUAGUUGUAUCGGGUGUUCUCCUGCUUAGUCUAAAUCAGAUAGGGACUUUAAACAUAUUUAGUUUAAAUAAUGACAUGCUUUUGUACUAUUAUUGACUUUCUUUAUCUCCUUCUGUUAUCACUAAUAAUGUUUUGCUUAAGAAGACAUCAUGUAGAUCUUCUUGCUUCGUGCAUUUUUUCAAUACUAAUCUUCUUGCUUCGUGCAUUUUUUUUUUAUUUCACUCGAUGUUGGAUGCUCUUCAUGUCCUUGAGGCCCUGGUCAUCAGCAUCGAUAGAACUAAUGGUCAGGCCUUCUGCUGAGCAAGCUCUGUAACUGCUGCAAGGGACCUUGGUUGGUGGUCAGAAUGUGAGGCUUUCAUCGAGAAGAAGACCUUCGAACAAACAAACUCAGGUUAAUUCUUGCGUACCGAGCUUAUAUCAUGUCUUGAGUUGUAUAUAUACUAGAGGUAAAGUGGGUAAUAUAUAACAUGUGAACAUUUUCAGCCUCAGGAAGCCAGCCAGUUGUAUGUCCAGUUCUCCACUAUAAAAUUGUUUGCUGCCUGUUUUCGCCUCUUUCUUUGAUAUAUAACAAUGCCUAGAACAUAAACGAGUGUGUUUCUAUAUUUACUUUCCCUUUAGGAUGGUGGAAAUUCAUAUUCUAUUCAAAAGCACUUCAUGUACAUGGUCAAAUGCUUCAGAAACAGUAGUAUGCUACUUCACUUUUUAUCUUCCUGGGGGUUCUGAUUCAUCUGUAUUAACUAAAGAAGCUUGUGAUAUUAUUUUCAUUAGCACAGUGCAAAUCAAACCGAAAAAAUGCACAUGCUUGCCCUUUGUAAAGAACCACUAUUACUAUAUAUGCUCUACUUUGUACAGAAUCAUAUGUAUAUUAUGCUUGCCCCUAAAUUGUUGCUUUAUGCUGAACCACUAUUACUAUAUUAUGAUUUGAUAUGAGAUUUGGUGCUUGAAUCAAGUAUUUAUGGAGACCAUGCCCUUAUGCAAGUCUUCAGGCCUUGCUGGGUUGUUUUAUUGUUCUGAAGGCAUCAUCAUGUGUGAUUGUAGUUACAUUGCCUCCUUCACACUUACAUCCACCAUCAAUCAGUUAGACACUCCCUUUUUUCCAAAUAAAAUCAAGUGAAUGUUGUACUCCCAAACCAAUUAGCGCAUUUCGGUUUGAUAAAUACCGUGCAUUGAUCCCUGCACUUUUGACAAAUUUAUAUUCUCAUGACAUCUCCGGUUUACUCCCGUUCUUUUUUCUGUGCUUCUCGGAUCUGGAAGCUCCAUAGAGACAUGGAACCUGUCAUCAUUUUGUCAGACUAAGCGUGGAGUUACUUGUGCAAGUUACACCAUCAGCAAACACAUGAAGACCUGCAUGCUAUCAUCGCAAGUUGAGCAUUUACAUGCUCUAAGUUAAUCUGAUAGGGAGAAAACAAAGGCUUGUGCGCCCAUUAGUAAUUUUUUGUUUUAUAAUAGUGGGCACCUUAUAUAUCUGUAACAUGUGACCUUUGCAACUGCAAAGGUGUUGGGCGAUAAAAAUUCUGUGUAACACAUGUUCUUAUACACUAUGCUUAUGUAUAGAUAUUACUCUCUUUUUUGUGGCCUUGUGUGGUAUAUAUUGUAAAUAAAUUAUCAUGAACUAUUGAGCCUUUCA
Triticum aestivum (bread wheat) is the source of this 2878-nucleotide long non-coding RNA. RefSeq lists it as uncharacterized. Lineage: Eukaryota; Viridiplantae; Streptophyta; Magnoliopsida; Poales; Poaceae. The record is from RefSeq and is a predicted model, not a curated record. The transcript has 2 exons.